GUAUUUAUUUAUAGAAAUAUACCACGAUACGUAAAUGUAGAUGUACACCUAUAUGAAUUAGACUCACUUUGUGAUGUAAGUUUCUAAACGUAUAAAUAAAAUGUGAUUUACGACUAUGGACUCUGGAUCAACUUAUAGAGGGAGAGAAACAAAAGCUACUGGAAACCUCCCCUACUCUCUUUGUAGGUGAUUAUUUUCAAAAUGCUCCGCUUUUCCACCGUUAGCGCGUGCGUCAACGGUAAGAGAGUGCUUCACUGUCUUUCGAUUUCUCUCAACGACCUCAGCAAUGUUGCUGGAUGAUUUCUACAUGUCAUGCUCCCCGACGUCCUUAGGAGAUGCUACGGAGGUGGCUUUCGCUUAAGCAGGGAGAUGAGAAAAUCCGCCAUUGCUGGUGGACGGGAGAUGCUCAGGACGAAGCACGGCGGCGGCUCGGGGACAGUCGUUCAAGCUGCUUAGUUCUAGGGUUUUCUCUUUAACUGGUUUUAUUCCAAAUUCAUUUCUGGUUAUUUCCGGAUUUUUCAUCCAAUUUAAAUGUUGUGUAAACCAUCAAACUUUUUCGGUUAGGGGCGGA
Molecule: long non-coding RNA, 571 nt
Filed under: Brassica rapa (field mustard)
Lineage: Eukaryota; Viridiplantae; Streptophyta; Magnoliopsida; Brassicales; Brassicaceae
Description: long non-coding RNA (BRAP_LNC001598)
Source: RNAcentral